Molecule: transfer RNA, 70 nt
Filed under: Myotis lucifugus (little brown bat)
Lineage: Eukaryota; Metazoa; Chordata; Mammalia; Chiroptera; Vespertilionidae
Rfam family: tRNA
About the family: Transfer RNA (tRNA) molecules are approximately 80 nucleotides in length. Their secondary structure includes four short double-helical elements and three loops (D, anti-codon, and T loops).
Source: Rfam by way of RNAcentral
GCCCACGUGGCUCAGGGGCUGAGCGCGACCUGUGACCCCGGAGGUCCGGGUUCGAUUCCCGGUCAGGGCA